UAACUGAAGAGUUUGAUCAUGGCUCAGAUUGAACGCUGGCGGCAGGCUUAACACAUGCAAGUCGAGCGGGGGAAGGUAGCUUGCUACCGGACCUAGCGGCGGACGGGUGAGUAAUGCUUAGGAAUCUGCCUAUUAGUGGGGGACAACAUCUCGAAAGGGAUGCUAAUACCGCAUACGUCCUACGGGAGAAAGCAGGGGAUCUU
This 203-nucleotide ribosomal RNA is filed under the name Acinetobacter baumannii. RNAcentral describes it as "partial 16S ribosomal RNA". It matches the Rfam family "Bacterial small subunit ribosomal RNA", at positions 1 to 214 of the family's 1533-position model. Lineage: Bacteria; Pseudomonadati; Pseudomonadota; Gammaproteobacteria; Moraxellales; Moraxellaceae. The record is from RNAcentral.